This 253-nucleotide ribosomal RNA is filed under the name uncultured prokaryote. RNAcentral's name for it is "partial 16S ribosomal RNA". It matches the Rfam family "Bacterial small subunit ribosomal RNA", at positions 524 to 776 of the family's 1533-position model. The record is from RNAcentral.
GACGAACCGUGCGAACGUUGUUCGGAUUCACUGGGCUUAAAGGGCGCGUAGGCGGGCCAGCGAGUCCGGGGUGAAAUCUUUCGGCUUAACCGGAAAACAGCCUCGGAUACCGAUGGCCUGGAGGGAGGUAGGGGCAUGCGGAACUUCCGGUGGAGCGGUGAAAUGCGUAGAUAUCGGAAGGAACGCCGGUGGCGAAAGCGGCGUGCUGGACCUCUUCUGACGCUGAGGCGCGAAAGCCAGGGGAGCAAACGGG